UGGAUCACCUCCUAACAGGGAGACAACAAAAUGUUUAAUAUUAUUAUUUUGUCACCUUAGGUCGAUCGGUAUCUCACAUUCUUAAUUUAUUAAGGAUUUUAUUUCCUAAGUUUUUUCUAGGUCACACCCAUUACUUUUCCUGGGCCAUUAGCUCAGGUGGUUAGAGCGCACCCCUGAUAAGGGUGAGGUCCCUGGUUCAAGUCCAGGAUGGCCCAUAUCUCUAUGUUGGGGGUAUAGCUCAGUUGGUAGAGCGCCUGCUUUGCAAGCAGGAUGUCAGCGGUUCGAGUCCGCUUACCUCCACUGAUUACCACCUCUUCCAUAAUUAUUCGGGAAAUGUUUUGAGUAGUGAUCAAAUUCUGAACGAAUCUAGCUUCCUAAUGAAUUCAUUAAGAUGCUGGACUCAUUGAAUUAUUUUCAUUGUUUUCAGAGAACCUUGACAACUGCAUAGAUUAUUUUUAAAGACAAUAAGCAUCUUUAUGAUGCAGAUUUAUUAUUUGUGCGAAUGCAUUAAUAACAAUUCUAUUAAGCUGAUGCUUCAAUUAUGAAGUUAUUGGUCAAGCUACAAAGGGCUCACGGAGGAUACCUAGGCACACAGAGGCGAUGAAGG
RNAcentral lists this transfer RNA (607 nucleotides) under uncultured Prochlorococcus sp. RNAcentral's name for it is "partial contains 16S ribosomal RNA, 16S-23S ribosomal RNA intergenic spacer, and 23S ribosomal RNA". The stretch from base 228 to 300 matches the Rfam family "tRNA". Lineage: Bacteria; Bacillati; Cyanobacteriota; Cyanophyceae; Synechococcales; Prochlorococcaceae. The record is from RNAcentral.